This 456-nucleotide ribosomal RNA is filed under the name uncultured Glomus. RNAcentral describes it as "SSU rRNA". It matches the Rfam family "Eukaryotic small subunit ribosomal RNA", at positions 569 to 1030 of the family's 1831-position model. Lineage: Eukaryota; Fungi; Glomeromycota; Glomeromycetes; Glomerales; Glomeraceae. The record is from RNAcentral.
AGCAGCCGCGGUAAUUCCAGCUCCAAUAGCGUAUAUUAAAGUUGUUGCAGUUAAAAAGCUCGUAGUUGAAUUUCGGGAUCAUCAGGUCGGUCGUGCCUCCGGUAUGUACUGGUCUCGAUGGUUCCUCCUUCUUGUAGAACCGUAAUGCCAUUAAUUUGGUGUUGCGGGGAAACAGGACUGUUACUUUGAAAAAUUAGAGUGUUUAAAGCAGGCGAUCGCUUGAAUACAUUAGCAUGGAAUAAUGAAAUAGGACGUUCGAUCCUAUUUUGUUGGUUUCUAGGAUUGACGUAAUGAUUAAUAGGGAUAGUUGGGGGCAUUAGUAUUCAAUUGUCAGAGGUGAAAUUCUUGGAUUUAUUGAAGACUAACUACUGCGAAAGCAUUUGCCAAGGAUGUUUUCAUUAAUCAAGAACGAAAGUUAGGGGAUCGAAGACGAUCAGAUACCGUCGUAGUCUUAAC